GAUGAAGAACGCAGCGAAAUGCGAUAAGUAAUGUGAAUUGCAGAAUUCAGUGAAUCAUCGAAUCUUUGAACGCACCUUGCGCUCCUUGGUAUUCCGAGGAGCAUGCCUGUUUGAGUGUCAUGAAAUUCUCAACCUUUUCAGCUUUCUUUGUCGAUCAGGCUUGGAUGUGGGAGUAUGCGGGCUUCUCAGAAGUCGGCUCUCCUGAAAUGCAUUAGCGGGACCUUUGUUGCCUGGCUUUGGUGUGAUAAUUAUCUACGCCAUUGUAGUCAAGCAGCUUAAAAUGAGGUUUCAGCUUCUAACCGUCUCCCCUGAGACAACUUUUUGACAAUUUGACCUCAAAUCAGGUAGGACUACCCGCUGAACUUAAGCAUAUCAAUAAGCGGAGGA
This 387-nucleotide unclassified non-coding RNA is filed under the name soil metagenome. Its description in RNAcentral is "partial contains 5.8S ribosomal RNA, internal transcribed spacer 2, and large subunit ribosomal RNA". The stretch from base 1 to 120 matches the Rfam family "5.8S ribosomal RNA", at positions 35 to 154 of the family's 154-position model. The record is from RNAcentral.